RNAcentral lists this long non-coding RNA (2161 nucleotides) under Anser brachyrhynchus (Pink-footed goose). RNAcentral describes it as "lncRNA (ENSABRG00000010206.1)". Lineage: Eukaryota; Metazoa; Chordata; Aves; Anseriformes; Anatidae. The record is from RNAcentral.
ACUCGCGGCCCAGCCGUGGCCCUUUGGGGCAGCCGGAGCCGGCUCUGCUCUGACACCGGGCAGCGGCUGGGCCCGGCUCACAGGGACCCCCCCCCGCAGCCCCCCACUACCAGACCUUGCCAUACAAACCCAAUCCCCCCCCUUGGGCCCGCGGCUCCUGGGGCUGCCCUGUGCCUGGGCACCGGGUGCUGGUGCCCGCCACCAAGAGCAGAAGGGGACGGGGAGGUGGGGAGGUGCUGGCAGACCUGGGAGGUGGCGGGGCUGGCAGGGGGGGAGCUGGCCCGUGCCUGGCCUGGAGAGGAGCAGCCCCGCAGCCCCCCCAGCCCCUCGCUGCUGCCCUCCCGGCCGGUGGGUGGCCGCUCCUGAGCUGGGCGGCCGCAGGGGCCAAGGUCCAGGCGGGGAGCACCCGGCGGUGGCACCGGGCAGCUGAGCCGUGCCCCGCGCAGCGCCAUGAGGCUGCGGCUGCUCUGCGCCCUCGCCGUGGCCCUCCUGGCCGUGGCCGGGGCCGACCCACGGGACUCCAAGAAGGGGAAGACGCUCACGCGGGACAGAGAGGUUGGCGGUGGGCAGAGGGAGGAGGCCAGAGCUGGGCAGCACCAGCCAGGAGGGGAGGGAGGCCGCAGGGAAGCGCCGCGAGGAGGGGGAAGGCCCACGGCACGGCGUGGCGGCUCUGGCACCGCAGGGAGCGAUUCCCCCCCUGGCAUUGUCCCCCCAGGGGACACCGGCCGCUGUCACCGGCACCGCGCACCGGGCAGGGCAGAGCCCCAGGGAGCGUCGCUCUCUGUCCCUGUCCCGGUCGGGUGCUGCCCUGGGCAGGGCUGGCCCCGAGGAUGGGCCGGGGGCAGCGGGGUCUGGCCGAGCCCCUCGUCCCAGGGGGCUGCGCCAUGGGGGGGGGGGGGGGUGCGCUGGGGCGUCCCCGGGGCCUUCGCUCUGCCAAAGCGCUGCUGCCGCUGCCGCUUGCACAACCAGCAAACAUUUCGUCAGGGGUUGGCGAGGGGCUGAGCGGGGGCAGGAGGAGCGCGGCCAUGGCUCCAGCGAAUCCUCGUCCCCUUUGCCUUCCUCCUCUUCCUCCGCCGCCAUCCCCUUGCCGCCGUGCACCUCGCCCCUGCCCUGCAGCGCCCCGAUCCCACCAUCGACGUGGGAGGGCGGCACGCCGCCGGUGCUCCUGCUCCCCCCGCAUCCCCCCAAUCCAUCCCCUGCUCUCUGCCCCGUCCCGCUGCGGGGCCAAGCCGCGGCACCCCCUGGCAGAGGGCACGGCGGUGCCGGCGCCGCUCGGUCCCCACGGGGACCGCUGACUGACGCCUUCCCUCUGCAGGCGGGGACGCGCGGUGGGGGCCGGCGCCGGCCGUGCUCGGGGUGCUUCUCUGUGCUGAGCGAGGUGAGCGGGGAGCAGAGGUGCUGGGGGGAACGGGACGGGAAGGGACGGGGAUGGGGAUGGGGAUGGGAUGGGGAUGGGAUGGGGAUGGGAUGGGGACGGGGACGGGGACGACCCCACACACGGGCAGAGAGCAGGCACAGGGCUCACACACAGGCUCGUGCUCACCCCUGUGGGGGUGGCAGCGGGGGUCUGUCCAUUUGUUGUCCGUCUGUCCGUCUGUCUGUCUGUCCGUCCCCGAGGGCUCAGCCUGCGGGUGCCCCUGGGGAACCCCUCCGUGGGGAGCCCCGGGGGCACCCGGGACACACGCCCCUCGCACCGCUCCGUACCCCCCCCCCUACCUGCAGGAGUCCACCUCCAUGGCCUGGAGCACCGGGGAUGUGGACGAAGGCCCCGCGGGCAGGCGGCGCGUCCAGGAGCGCACCAGGAGGGAAAGCGAGAGACCCGCCCAGGUGGCACGAGGCCGCGGCCACGUCCCGCAGCUCGGCCAGGAGGCACCGGGCGCCCACGUGGCAUGGGCGGGAGAGGCACCGGUGACCCAGCGCGGACCCACGCGAGGACGGAGCCGGGGGUCCCGCCGCCCCCUGACCGCACCGCGGGGUCCCGCUGCCCCCCACCAGCCCUGAGGGGAGCUGGGGGGGCCCUGCCGUGUCCCCCCGCUCAGUGGGGCCACCCCACCCCAGCACGCUGCUGCCCCUGCACCCCAAAAUUUUCUGCAGGGGUGUCCCCACCCGCUGCGCGGAGCCACCGAAUAAAGGCACCGAGACAGCCCGAGUGGGUGCGUCU